CCUACGGGAGGCAGCAGUAGGGAAUCUUUCACAAUGAGCGAAAGCCUGAUGGAGCAACACCGCGUGGGUGAAGAAGGUCUUCGGAUCGUAAAGCGCUGUUGUAAGAGAAGAAAGUGCGUGAGAGUAACUGUUCACGUUUCGACGGUAUCUUACCAGAAAGCCACGGCUAACUACGUGCCAGCAGCCGCGGUAAUACGUAGGUGGCAAGCGUUAUCCGGAUUUAUUGGGCGUAAAGGGGACGCAGGCGGUCUUUUAAGUCUGAUGUGAAAGCCUCGGGCUUAACCCGAGUAGGGCAUUGGAAACUAGGAGACUAGAGUGCAGAAGAGGAGAGUGGAACUCCAUGUGAAGCGGUGAAAUGCGUAGAUAUAUGGAAGAACACCAGUGGCGAAAGCGGCUUACUGGGUUGUAACUGACGCUGAGGGUCGAAAGCGUGGGUAGCAAACAGGAUUAGAUACCCGGGUAGUC
This 465-nucleotide ribosomal RNA is filed under the name uncultured bacterium. Its description in RNAcentral is "partial 16S ribosomal RNA". It matches the Rfam family "Bacterial small subunit ribosomal RNA", at positions 338 to 795 of the family's 1533-position model. The record is from RNAcentral.